Nestor notabilis (Kea) is the source of this 780-nucleotide non-coding RNA. The record is from the annotation of a RefSeq genome assembly. NCBI's taxonomy places the organism in Eukaryota, Metazoa, Chordata, Aves, Psittaciformes, Psittacidae.
CGCCUCAACCUCACCUUGGUCGAGUGGCAGGAGAAGACCUUCAUGUGUGGAGUCACCCACAAGGCCUCGAACACCGACGUGCUGGUCACCGGCCACAAGUGCCUCAGCGCCCCUCCGGACUCCAGCUCCAUCCAAGUCUUCGUCCUCCCCCCGUCCCCCUUGGACCUUUACGUGUCCCAGAACCCCAAACUCCGCUGCGUGGUCACCAGUUUGCCCAGUGACGAUGGGCUGGAGCUGACCUGGAGCCAGGAGGGAGGAGGGACCCUUCGCCCCAACCUCCUCCAAAUCAAAGCCCAGUUCAACGGCACCUUCACGGCCACCAGAGAGGUCUCGGUGUCCACCCGCGAUUGGGACAAUGGGGAGACCUUCACCUGCCGGGUCCACCACAGAGACCUGCCCUCUCCCAUCAGCCGCAGCAUCGCCAAGAAGCCAGGCAAGCGCUUGACCCCCAGCGUCUACCUCUUGCCACCACCUUCGGAGGAGCUGAGCGGGUCCCGUCCCACCUUAAGCUUGACCUGUUUGGUGCGAGGCUUCUACCCCGAGGCCAUCUCGGUGGAGUGGCAGAAGAACCAGGACCCAUUGGACUCCUCAGCCUACGACACCACCCCCCCUAUGAAGGAGAAGGUGGGAGAUGCCUCCUACUUCCUCUACAGCCGCUUGGUGGUGAAGAGGGAGGACUGGAACAAGGGGACAACCUACGUGUGCAUGGUGGUCCAUGAGGGGCUGCCCAUGAGGUUCAUCCAGCGCAGCAUCAACAGGACCCCCGGUAAAAGGAAGUGA